Non-coding RNA from Delphinapterus leucas (beluga whale), 1207 nucleotides. The record is from RefSeq and is a predicted model, not a curated record. NCBI's taxonomy places the organism in Eukaryota, Metazoa, Chordata, Mammalia, Artiodactyla, Monodontidae.
UUUUGUCAUUUAAUCUCUUCUCUCUCCAGCUCCCCAGUUCAACGUAGGCUCCAUGUCUUCUGGGAAACUUGCCUGACCCCUGCUGUGCCUCGCUAGCAGCCCACAUUACUCUGAUGAGGGACUUCACUGUCUGUGAAUUUCUAGAGGGCAGGCCUGGUCUAACUCAGCUUCAUCUCUCCAGAGUCUAGCUCAUGGACUCUGCUCAAGGAGGCUUCUGCCGUGGCAAGUGAAGGUGGUUCUUCUGGAAGGGUCUGUCCUGCUGUGAAGGUAUUGAAACGAUGACCGUGAGAACAACGUUGCAACAUGGAAAAGUGCCUGUGACAAUAAGAGGACACAAGUCCGUAGAUUGGAGGGUUGCCAAGUGGAGAUAAAAGAGACAACUGAGAAUCCUCUUCAGCAUUGCUCAGGGAACCACUGGACUUUGUAUCUGUGGAAGAAGGGGGAAGAGAUCACUGACUGCAUUUCUGUCCCUGUGCUGAAAAGGAUGCUAUGUCAGAGAACCAUUCCAGCAAACUUCAAAGGGUUGAACUCACGCAGAGAGGGAACUGGAGACUGCUGACUGUGGUGUGUAAAGUCAUCGACUGAAGAGGACCAAGGAGCUUAUCUGAAGGAGGUACAUCCUUCAUCCUUUCCCCACUCAAGGGACUGAAACCGGGCUCCCCCACAGUGCCUGGCCCAUGGCUGGCCCUGGGCAUCUCACAUUCGUCGUUUGCAGCGAUAACAGAGGAGUGACAGUCUUGUGUGCAGGCCUGAAUGCCAGGGCAUCUCACAGAAGUUUCACUGCUGUGAUGGCAAAUUUUGUGUGUCAACUUGGUGAGGCCACGGUACCCCCUUGUCUGGUUAAAAACCAUCUAGACGUCGCUGUGGAGGUAUUUUUUAGGUGCGAUUGAUGUUUAAAUCAGUAGACUUUGAAUAAGGCGGAGCCGAUUACCCUCCAUAACAUGGGUGGGCCUCAUCCAAUCAGUUGAGGGCCUUAAGAGAAAAGACUGAGGUUUCCCGAAGAGGAAGGAAUUCUGCCUUCAGACUACAACAAAGAGAUUCUGCCUGAGGUUUUAGCCUUUGGACUCAAGACUACAACAUUGACUCCUGCUGGAAUUUCCAGGCUGCCAAGAUGCCCUGUAGAUUCUGGACUAUCUGUCUAUCUAUUUAUCUAUCUACCAUCUAGCUAGCUGGCUAUCUAUCUAUCUAUCAUCUAGCUAGCUGGCUA